Molecule: signal recognition particle RNA, 247 nt
Filed under: bovine gut metagenome
Description: Bacterial large signal recognition particle RNA
Rfam family: Bacterial large signal recognition particle RNA
About the family: The signal recognition particle (SRP) is a universally conserved ribonucleoprotein involved in the co-translational targeting of proteins to membranes. Archaeal SRP consists of a 7S RNA and homologues of the eukaryotic SRP19 and SRP54 proteins.
Source: RNAcentral
UACCAGCCGGGGAGCCAGCGGUGCCCUGUACCCGAAAUCCGCUGCAGCGGGGGUUCAUUCCCCUUCAGAGGAAGGCGUCGAAGCGGUCUGCGGACCGUAUUCUGUGUUGAAGAACGGGUCCUGCGCAAUCGGGCACUGCGAACCAUGUCAGGUGGGGAACCAAGCAGCAUUAAGCAGCCGGUCCGGUGUGCCGCGGGAGUGCCUGUUCCGAGCAGGAGCCGGUUUUUACGCGCGGCGGCAAAUUUCG